This 216-nucleotide unclassified non-coding RNA is filed under the name Hevea brasiliensis (rubber tree). The record is from RNAcentral. Lineage: Eukaryota; Viridiplantae; Streptophyta; Magnoliopsida; Malpighiales; Euphorbiaceae.
UGCUAGAGAUGUUGCUGUUCUAGAUGCAAUGCUUGAAUCUGGAAUGAACAAUGGAGCUCAGGUUCAGGUAAAAAAGUUUUAGGCUGAGGACUAUCUCAACACGAUUCUGUUAAGGAUAGGGGGGAGAGAAGAAAAUAAAGAAAUAUCAUUUACAUUUCUUUAGAUUACAUCAUUAAUUUACGCUGUUAAUUUGAAAUGCUGUGUUGUAAUUUGGGG